GUGCUCACUUUGGCAGCACACAUACUAAAUUGGAAUGAUACAGAGAAGAUCAGCAUGGCCCCUGCACAAGGAUGACACGUAAAUUCGUGGAGCAUUCCAUAUUUUU
Molecule: small nuclear RNA, 106 nt
Organism: Cavia porcellus (domestic guinea pig)
Lineage: Eukaryota; Metazoa; Chordata; Mammalia; Rodentia; Caviidae
Source: Ensembl